This 490-nucleotide ribosomal RNA is filed under the name uncultured bacterium. RNAcentral describes it as "partial 16S ribosomal RNA". It matches the Rfam family "Bacterial small subunit ribosomal RNA", at positions 36 to 507 of the family's 1533-position model. The record is from RNAcentral.
CUUUCCCUCUUUCUUCCUGCCUAACACAUGCAAGUCGAACGGUAACAGGAAGCAGCUUGCUGCUUUGCUGACGAGUGGCGGACGGGUGAGUAAUGUCUGGGAAACUGCCCGAUGGAGGGGGAUAACUACUGGAAACGGUAGCUAAUACCGCAUAACGUCGCAAGACCAAAGAGGGGGACCUUAGGGCCUCUUGCCAUCGGAUGUGCCCAGAUGGGAUUAGCUAGUAGGUGGGGUAACGGCUCACCUAGGCGACGAUCCCUAGCUGGUCUGAGAGGAUGACCAGCCACACUGGAACUGAGACACGGUCCAGACUCCUACGGGAGGCAGCAGUGGGGAAUAUUGCACAAUGGGCGCAAGCCUGAUGCAGCCAUGCCGCGUGUAUGAAGAAGGCCUUCGGGUUGUAAAGUACUUUCAGCGGGGAGGAAGGGAGUAAAGUUAAUACCUUUGCUCAUUGACGUUACCCGCAGAAGAAGCACCGGCUAACUCCGUG